UUAAAACCAAAAUUGAAGAGUACCAGUAAUCUUGAAACUCAAAGAAUUUGGCGGUGUUUUAAUCUAAUUAGAGGAACCUGUUUCAUAAUCGAMACUACCCGAAAAUCUCACCUAUCUAUGCUUGUAUACCGUCGUAAUAAUUAUACUAAAAAGUGAUAAUUUAUAAUAAUUAAAUUCAAAACUUCAGAUCAAGGUUCAGCCCUUACUUAGGAGAAAAUGGGUUACAAUAUAAAGAUAUACCACGGAUUAAAAAUGAAACUUAUAUAUAAAGGAGGAUUUAAAAGUAAUUUUGACUAAUAAAAUUAAAAUGAAUUAGCCCUAAAACAUGC
Molecule: ribosomal RNA, 329 nt
Filed under: Tityus atriventer
Lineage: Eukaryota; Metazoa; Arthropoda; Arachnida; Scorpiones; Buthidae
Description: partial 12S ribosomal RNA
Source: RNAcentral